Molecule: ribosomal RNA, 433 nt
Filed under: uncultured bacterium
Lineage: Bacteria
Description: partial 16S ribosomal RNA
Rfam family: Bacterial small subunit ribosomal RNA
Source: RNAcentral
AACGAACGCUGGCGGCAUGCCUAACACAUGCAAGUCGAACGAGACCUUCGGGUCUAGUGGCGCACGGGUGCGUAACGCGUGGGAACCUGCCCUUAGGUUCGGAAUAACUCCCCGAAAGGGGUGCUAAUACCGGAUAAUGUCUUCGGACCAAAGAUUUAUCGCCUUUGGAUGGGCCCGCGUUGGAUUAGCUAGUUGGUAGGGUAAAAGCCUACCAAGGCGACGAUCCAUAGCUGGUCUGAGAGGAUGAUCAGCCACACUGGGACUGAGACACGGCCCAGACUCCUACGGGAGGGCGCAGUGGGGAAUAUUGGACAAUGGGCGAAAGCCUGAUCCAGCAAUGCCGCGUGAGUGAUGAAGGCCUUAGGGUUGUAAAGCUCUUUUACCCGGGAUGAUAAUGACAGUACCGGGAGAAUAAGCUCCGGCUAACUCCGUG